AAUAAAUGCAACUCCCCAUUCAAUUAUUAUAUGAUAAAAAUUAUUUUUAGUCAGAACAGCUGCAUUCUAUUCACAUAAUAAUUCACAUGGAAUUCUUAGCAAGGAAGAUAUUAAUUUAUAUAAAUACAUAAAUUUUUCUUGGCAGUCGAUGAACAAUAAUAUCUUCCAUCAUCGUUUAGAAAACCUGUGAUAACUAGGAUGCAUUCCUUCUGCUAAUCUUUUGAUAGAAUAUUGCUGCAUAUGGUUUCUUCCAAGUGUGAAUUACCCAUCGGACUCAUACUACCCAUAUUAUGCGGCAUCAUAGGACUCAUACCACCGAUAGAAGUAAGAGGACUCAUACCACGCA
Molecule: long non-coding RNA, 346 nt
Filed under: Polistes dominula (European paper wasp)
Lineage: Eukaryota; Metazoa; Arthropoda; Insecta; Hymenoptera; Vespidae
Description: uncharacterized LOC107072401, transcript variant X2
Source: RNAcentral